UACAGAGGUCCCAAGCGUUGUUCGGAUUCAUUGGGCGUAAAGGGUGUGUAGGUGGCGCCGUAAGUCGGGUGUGAAAUCUCGGGGCUUAACUCCGAAACUGCAUUCGAUACUGCGGUGCUUGAGGACUGGAGAGGAGACUGGAAUUUACGGUGUAGCAGUGAAAUGCGUAGAGAUCGUAAGGAAGACCAGCGGCGAAGGCGGGUCUCUGGACAGUUCCUGACACUGAGGCACGAAGGCCAGGGGAGCAAACGGG
Molecule: ribosomal RNA, 253 nt
Filed under: uncultured bacterium
Lineage: Bacteria
Description: partial 16S ribosomal RNA
Rfam family: Bacterial small subunit ribosomal RNA
Source: RNAcentral